Molecule: ribosomal RNA, 262 nt
Filed under: uncultured archaeon
Lineage: Archaea
Description: partial 16S ribosomal RNA
Rfam family: Archaeal small subunit ribosomal RNA
Source: RNAcentral
AGGGUGUAAACGCUGCAGACUUGGUGUUGGAAGCCCUUUGGGGGCAUUCAGUGCCGGAGAGAAGUUGUUAAGUCUGCUACUUGGGGAGUACGUCCGCAAGGAUGAAACUUAAAGGAAUUGGCGGGGGGAGCACCGCAACGGGAGGAGCGUGCGGUUUAAUUGGAUUCAACACCGUAAAACUCACCAGGGAAGACUGUUACAUGAAGGCCGAGAUGAAGACUCUGCCAGAUUUUCAGAGAGGAGGUGCAUGGCGUCAGUGACU